CACGUAAGCCUCGAGCGUUGUUCGGAAUUAUUGGGCGUAAAGGGUAUGUAGGCGGUUCUGAAAGCCUGUCGUGAAAGGCGGGGGCUCAACUCCCGGACUGCGAUGGGAACUGCAGGGCUUGAAUUGCUGAAGGGCAGCCAGAAUUCCAUGUGUAGGGGUGAAAUCUGUAGAUAUGUGGAAGAAUACCAAUGGCGAAGGCAGGCUGCCGGCAGAUGAUUGACGCUGAGGUACGAAAGUGCGGGGAGCAAAC
This 250-nucleotide ribosomal RNA is filed under the name uncultured prokaryote. RNAcentral's name for it is "partial 16S ribosomal RNA". It matches the Rfam family "Bacterial small subunit ribosomal RNA", at positions 524 to 773 of the family's 1533-position model. The record is from RNAcentral.